GCUGGGCAUGGUGGCUCAUGCCUGUAAUCCCAGCACUUUGGGAGGCUGAGGUGGGUGGAUCACUUGAGGUCAGGAGCUUGAGACCAGCCUGACCAACAUGGUGAAACCCCAUCUCUA
Callithrix jacchus (white-tufted-ear marmoset) is the source of this 117-nucleotide unclassified non-coding RNA. It matches the Rfam family "Metazoan signal recognition particle RNA". Rfam says of the family: The signal recognition particle (SRP) is a universally conserved ribonucleoprotein. It is involved in the co-translational targeting of proteins to membranes. The record is from Ensembl. NCBI's taxonomy places the organism in Eukaryota, Metazoa, Chordata, Mammalia, Primates, Cebidae.